CAGUCGAACGAGCAAGAGAGAGCUUGCUUUCUCGAGCGAGUGGCGAACGGGUGAGUUUCGCGUGAGGAACCUGCCUCAAAGAGGGGGACAACAGUUGGAAACGACUGCUAAUACCGCAUAAGCCCACGGGUCGGCAUCGACCAGAGGGAAAAGGAGCAAUCCGCUUUGAGAUGGCCUCGCGUCCGAUUAGCUAGUUGGUGAGGUAAUGGCCCACCAAGGCAACGAUCGGUAGCCGGACUGAGAGGUUGAACGGCCACAUUGGGACUGAGACACGGCCCAGACUCCUACGGGAGGCAGCAGUGGGGAAUAUUGCACAAUGGGGGAAACCCUGAUGCAGCGACGCCGCGUGGAGGAAGAAGGUCUUCGGAUUGUAAACUCCUGUUGUUGGGGAAGAUAAUGACGGUACCCAACAAGGAAGUGACGGCUAACUACGUGCCAGCAGCCGCGGUAAAACGUAGGUCACAAGCGUUGUCCGGAAUCACUGGGUGUAAAGGGAGCGCAGGCGGGAAGACAAGUUGGAAGUGAAAUCUAUGGGCUCAACCCAUAAACUGCUUUCAAAACUGUUUUUCUUGAGUAGUGCAGAGGUAGGCGGAAUUCCCGGUGUAGCGGUGGAAUGCGUAGAUAUCGGGAGGAACACCAGUGGCGAAGGCGGCCUACUGGGCACCAACUGACGCUGAGGCUCGAAAGUGUGGGUAGCAAACAGGAUUAGAUACCCUGGUAGUCCACACCGUAAACGAUGAUUACUAGGUGUCGGAGGAUUGACCCCUUCAGUGCCGCAGUUAACACAAUAAGUAAUCCACCUGGGGAGUACGAC
This 814-nucleotide ribosomal RNA is filed under the name uncultured bacterium. Its description in RNAcentral is "bacterial SSU rRNA". It matches the Rfam family "Bacterial small subunit ribosomal RNA", at positions 59 to 886 of the family's 1533-position model. The record is from RNAcentral.